AUUGAACGCUGGCGGCAGGCCUAACACAUGCAAGUCGAGCGGAUGAAGCGAGCUUGCUCCUGGAUUCAGCGGCGGACGGGUGAGUAAUGCCUAGGAAUCUGCCUGGUAGUGGGGGAUAACGUACGGAAACGGGCGCUAAUACCGCAUACGUCCUGAGGGAGAAAGUGGGGGAUCUUCGGACCUCACGCUAUCAGAUGAGCCUAGGUCGGAUUAGCUAGUUGGUGGGGUAAAGGCCUACCAAGGCGACGAUCCGUAACUGGUCUGAGAGGAUGAUCAGUCACAUUGGAACUGAGACACGGUCGAGACUCCUGCAGUGGGCAGCAGUCGGGAAUAUUGGGCAAUGGGCGAAAGGCUAAUCCAGCGAUGCCGCGUGUGUGAAGAAGGUCUUCUGCUUGGUAAGCACUUUAAGUUGGGGGGAAGGGCAGUAAGUUAAUACCUGGCUGUAUUGACGUUACCAACAGAAUAAGCACCGGCUAACUUCGUG
This 484-nucleotide ribosomal RNA is filed under the name uncultured bacterium. RNAcentral describes it as "partial 16S ribosomal RNA". It matches the Rfam family "Bacterial small subunit ribosomal RNA", at positions 30 to 507 of the family's 1533-position model. The record is from RNAcentral.